RNAcentral lists this ribosomal RNA (465 nucleotides) under uncultured bacterium. RNAcentral describes it as "bacterial SSU rRNA". It matches the Rfam family "Bacterial small subunit ribosomal RNA", at positions 338 to 795 of the family's 1533-position model. The record is from RNAcentral.
CCUACGGGUGGCAGCAGUGGGGAAUAUUGCACAAUGGGCGCAAGCCUGAUGCAGCCAUGCCGCGUGUAUGAAGAAGGCCUUCGGGUUGUAAAGUACUUUCAGCGGGGAGGAAGGCGAUAAGGUUAAUAACCUUGUCGAUUGACGUUACCCGCAGAAGAAGCACCGGCUAACUCCGUGCCAGCAGCCGCGGUAAUACGGAGGGUGCAAGCGUUAAUCGGAAUUACUGGGCGUAAAGCGCACGCAGGCGGUCUGUCAAGUCGGAUGUGAAAUCCCCGGGCUCAACCUGGGAACUGCAUUCGAAACUGGCAGGCUAGAGUCUUGUAGAGGGGGGUAGAAUUCCAGGUGUAGCGGUGAAAUGCGUAGAGAUCUGGAGGGAUGCCGGUGGCGAAGGCGGCCCCCUGGACAAUGACUGACGCUCAGGUGCGGAAGCGUGGGGAGCAAACAGGAUUAGAUACCCUCGUAGUC